This 253-nucleotide ribosomal RNA is filed under the name uncultured bacterium. RNAcentral's name for it is "partial 16S ribosomal RNA". It matches the Rfam family "Bacterial small subunit ribosomal RNA", at positions 524 to 776 of the family's 1533-position model. The record is from RNAcentral.
UACGUAGGGUGCAAGCGUUAAUCGGAAUUACUGGGCGUGAAGCGUGCGCAGGCGGUGAUGUAAGACAGAUGUGAAAUCCCCGGGCUCAACCUGGGAACUGCAUUUGUGACUGCAUCGCUGGAGUGCGGCAGAGGGGGAUGGAAUUCCGCGUGUAGCAGUGAAAUGCGUAGAUAUGCGGAGGAACACCGAUGGCGAAGGCAAUCCCCUGGGCCUGCACUGACGCUCAUGCACGAAAGCGUGGGGAGCAAACAGG